RNAcentral lists this ribosomal RNA (405 nucleotides) under uncultured bacterium. RNAcentral describes it as "partial 16S ribosomal RNA". It matches the Rfam family "Bacterial small subunit ribosomal RNA", at positions 28 to 526 of the family's 1533-position model. The record is from RNAcentral.
GAUGAACGCUGGCGGCGUGCCUAAUACAUGCAAGUCGAGCGAAGCGGGGACGGGUGAGUAACACGUGGAUAACCUCCUAUAAGACUGGGUUAACUCCGGGAAACCUGAGCUAAACCCGUUAGUUAUCGUUGGAGCUGCGCUGCAUUAGCUAGUUGGUAAGGUAACGGCCUACAAAGGCAACGAUGCAUAGCCGACCUGAGAGGAUGAUCGGCCACACUGGAACUGAGACACGGUCCAGACUCCUACGGGAGGCAGCAGUAGGGAAUCUGCCGCAAGGGGCGAAAGCCUGACGGAGCAACGCCGCGUGAGUGAUGAAGGUCUUCGGAUCGUAAAACUCUGUUAUUAGGGAAGCGUUACCUAAUCAAAAAGCCACGGCUAACUACGUGCCAGCAGCCGCGGUAAUAC